Molecule: transfer RNA, 90 nt
Filed under: Bacilli bacterium
Lineage: Bacteria; Bacillati; Bacillota; Bacilli
Description: tRNA-Ser
Rfam family: tRNA
About the family: Transfer RNA (tRNA) molecules are approximately 80 nucleotides in length. Their secondary structure includes four short double-helical elements and three loops (D, anti-codon, and T loops). Further hydrogen bonds mediate the characteristic L-shaped molecular structure. tRNAs have two regions of fundamental functional importance: the anti-codon, which is responsible for specific mRNA codon recognition, and the 3' end, to which the tRNAs corresponding amino acid is attached (by aminoacyl-tRNA synthetases). tRNAs cope with the degeneracy of the genetic code in two manners: having more than one tRNA (with a specific anti-codon) for a particular amino acid; and 'wobble' base-pairing, i.e. permitting non-standard base-pairing at the 3rd anti-codon position.
Source: RNAcentral
GGAAGAAUACUCUAGCUGGUUGAUGAGGCAGGUCUCGAAAAUCUGUAGGCUGUAAAAGGCGCGUGGGUUCGAAUCCCACUUCUUCCGCCA